Arachis ipaensis is the source of this 678-nucleotide non-coding RNA. NCBI's taxonomy places the organism in Eukaryota, Viridiplantae, Streptophyta, Magnoliopsida, Fabales, Fabaceae. The record is from RefSeq and is a predicted model, not a curated record.
AGCCUAAACCCCUGAAGAAUUUGAAUGGAAUCGUUGAGGUACCGGCAUUGUAAAGAUUCAUGCAAAAUCGGCGGUCACAUCAACAAGACUUUCACAUUACCUCAUCUACUAUUCUUGCGUCAACCUUGCACAUCACAAGAUUGAACACAAGAAACCAAGGAGUAACUAACACAGAUUCAAAUUCAGGGGCAGGGUUCAGGCCGGGGUUUGAUCCAUCGGCACCUCAGAACAGUGCAGGAGUUGCUGAGCCUCCAGGACGACCAGAAAACAAUCAAGACAGCGUAGCCAACCCCGUGCAGAUUCCCGGGCAAGCUGACAUUCGACAAGCAGAAGGUGGUCCGAACCCCGGUUUCAUGAAUUCAUUCAGUUCUAUGUUAUUAUGGAUCUUAGGAGGUGCUUCAUCUGAGGGUCUCAACUCGUUUUUUUCAAAGUUCAGAGAUGUUAGAGACAAGGGACAAGUUUUUGCUGAAACUCCUCAUGAUGAAAACCGUGAGAAUUAGGAGAAUGACAGAUAGUGGUAGAACAUUAGAUUUUGAUCAUAAGUACUUGUUAAUACUUAAUAUAGGAAUACUGUACGGCAUAUCAUAUAGGUGACUGAACUUUCUCUCUCUUUGGUCCAAAUGAAAAUAAAACUAACGAAAAAGAAUGUGUAUAUAAUGUAUAUGUAUAUUCUUUAUA